Molecule: non-coding RNA, 1504 nt
Organism: Manis javanica (Malayan pangolin)
Lineage: Eukaryota; Metazoa; Chordata; Mammalia; Pholidota; Manidae
Source: RefSeq, a predicted model, not a curated record
GAGGGUGGGGAAAGUUGGCUCCCGAGUUGGGCACCGGUUCAUUAGCAUUUAAAGGCGCCCGCUGCCCUUUCCAGCCCGCGACGAGCCCGCGACUGAGCGCGGGCCGCGCCGGAAAGAAAAGCGCAGCGGGGUGAGCGAGCGCGGGGCCUGGGACCGGCAGUCUGCGCGGAGCGCGCGCUGCAGCCCCGCGGUGGGAGCCGGGCGGGGGCGCGCUCCUCCCGCGCGACGUCCUGACACCUGGAACCGGCCUUCGGGAGAGGGAACUGGCCGUGCAUCGCAGGUCCGCUGCGCUCCUCUCCCCCAAACGCUGGCUUUUUAAGUCCUCUGCAUUUGCUCACCCAUGAAGCACCAGAAACGAUUUCUGAUACAGCAAUUAAGAACUGAAAUAAUGAAAAUCUUAACACGAUUUGGCUACUUUAGUCCUGAAAGGUAAUUCACGGAUAAUUUCGUCUAUAAACCGCAGGAAGACUGUGGUGGUUGGCUCUGAAGGUACUCUCAGAAGCUCUGAGCAGCCUAAGCAUAAGUUAAGGAAGACAGCAGAAGCCGUAUUAUCAAGUGACCGUUUUAAUAACAUAGGAAUACAAUGAAAUCAGUGAUAAAUCAUACAGAGGAAGUGUUCUGCUGGAAGCAACCCACCAGCUAUCCUGCUGACUUUGAACACAGCACAGCAAAAAGCUCAAGACCAAGAGCGUCAAGUCUGUUAUGAUGACAGCCAGAUCAUGAACGACAAGGAGACACGGAGGAAAUCCCACGGAUUAGAGUUUAGCAGGUGACAGCUCCGUGUAGUUCUCCCUCUUGUCUUGGACUCUGGAACAGGACGUGAACGUUAGUGGAGAAUUCUUCUGAUUAGUGGAGCAAUCUAGAAAAAUCAGGAGGUAUGACAUUGGGACUCUGAUGAAGAAAAAUCUGCCAUAUUAUACAGUAUGAAAACAUGGAUGAAAUAAUAUUCCUUAUGGACAAUGAAAAAUCAGCAAUGUAAUAAGAAUCAUAACUUUUGUGCUAUAUAUUCAGUGAAUUACUAGAAUUGAGAUGGGUGAAAAAAAAUCUUGCAAUAUGUACGUACAAUGCUUUCAUAAAAUAGCAUUGUAAACUACUCCCAAACUUUAAAAUCCUCCAAGACUAUUACUCUCCCUGUCAAAGAUUGUUCUGAGGAUCCUUGUACAAAAGAGUGACUGAAAAGGUGUUAUGAAAAGCUGCCGUAGCUCCAGGUCUGGCCUGAGGUGCACACACCCUCUCACCGCAACUUUGUCAUUUUCUGUCCAUGUGCACCACCUAAGGCGUAAAUAUUGGGUGGAGAAAUAAACAUAUCAUUUAAAAUAAUAAUAAUAAUGACAAGAAGAAGAAGAAGGUAUCAUCGAACUUUCUAAAAAUGACUCAUCUCUACAAAAAUAUUACCCAUUCAAGUGUUCUUAAAAUCCACAGGUAAUUAAUUCACAACAACAUGGAUGGAGCUAGAGGGUAUUAUGCUCAGUGAAAUAAGCCAGGCCGAGAAAGACAAGUACCA